UACGAAGGGGGCUAGCGUUGCUCGGAAUGACUGGGCGUAAAGGGCGCGUAGGCGGAUGGCACAGUCAGAUGUGAAAUUCCCGGGCUUAACCUGGGGGCUGCAUUUGAUACGUGUUGUCUUGAGUUCGGAAGAGGGUCGUGGAAUUCCCAGUGUAGAGGUGAAAUUCGUAGAUAUUAGGAGGAACACCGGUGGCGAAGGCGGCUAUCUGGGUGAACACUGACGCUGUUGCACGAAAGCGUGGGGAGCAAACAGG
This 253-nucleotide ribosomal RNA is filed under the name uncultured bacterium. RNAcentral describes it as "partial 16S ribosomal RNA". It matches the Rfam family "Bacterial small subunit ribosomal RNA", at positions 524 to 776 of the family's 1533-position model. The record is from RNAcentral.